CCUACGGGUGGCUGCAGUGAGGAAUAUUGGUCAAUGGACGCAAGUCUGAACCAGCCAUGCCGCGUGCAGGAAGACGGCUCUAUGAGUUGUAAACUGCUUUUGUACGAGGGUAAACGCAGAUACGCGUAUCUGUCUGAAAGUAUCGUACGAAUAAGCAUCGGCUAACUCCGUGCCAGCAGCCGCGGUAAUACGGAGGAUUCAAGCGUUAUCCGGCUUUUUUGGGUUUAAAGGGUUCGUAGGCGGGCGGAUAAGUUAGAGGUGAAGUCCCGGGGCUCAACUUCGGAAUUGCCUCUGAUACUGUUCGGCUAGAGAGUAGUUGCGGUAGGCGGAAUGUAUGGUGUAGCGGUGAAAUGCUUAGAGAUCAUACAGAACACCGAUGGCGAAGGCAGCUUACCAGGCUACUUCUGACGUUGAGGCACGAAAGCGUGGGGAGCAAACAGGAGUAGAUACCCGUGUAGUC
This 460-nucleotide ribosomal RNA is filed under the name uncultured bacterium. RNAcentral describes it as "partial 16S ribosomal RNA". It matches the Rfam family "Bacterial small subunit ribosomal RNA", at positions 338 to 795 of the family's 1533-position model. The record is from RNAcentral.